Molecule: non-coding RNA, 113 nt
Organism: Acanthosepion pharaonis
Lineage: Eukaryota; Metazoa; Mollusca; Cephalopoda; Sepiida; Sepiidae
Source: the annotation of a GenBank genome assembly
UACGGCCACAUGACGUUGAAACAAUCAUUCCUGUACGACCACCAAAGGUAAGCAACGUUGAGCCUGGUCAAUACCUAGAUGGGUGAUCGCUUGGGAAUUUCGGGUGCUGUAAG